AAUCUUUUAGGACAACCUCGGUGUUCCAUCCUUCAAAUAAAUUAAAGACCCACUUUGUGGAAAGCAUUUGCAAAAUCAUGUUUUGUUAUGAACUUGGGAAGGCUACUCUACAUUCACAAACCAUGGGAUGAAGAAGAAACACAACAUUCUCCUUGAUUCCGGCCUUAUAUACAUUUCAAUCCAUGUUUCUAUUUCAAUCCAUUGAUGGUAGUGAGUUAUUUCUUGGUUAAUUUU
Molecule: long non-coding RNA, 234 nt
Organism: Helianthus annuus (common sunflower)
Lineage: Eukaryota; Viridiplantae; Streptophyta; Magnoliopsida; Asterales; Asteraceae
Exons: 2
Source: RefSeq, a predicted model, not a curated record